This 425-nucleotide ribosomal RNA is filed under the name uncultured bacterium. RNAcentral describes it as "partial 16S ribosomal RNA". It matches the Rfam family "Bacterial small subunit ribosomal RNA", at positions 354 to 796 of the family's 1533-position model. The record is from RNAcentral.
GUGGGGAAUAUUGGACAAUGGGCGAAAGCCUGAUCCAGCCAUGCCGCGUGAGUGAUGAAGGCCCUAGGGUUGUAAAGCUCUUUCACCGGUGAAGAUAAUGACGGUAACCGGAGAAGAAGCCCCGGCUAACUUCGUGCCAGCAGCCGCGGUAAUACGAAGGGGGCUAGCGUUGUUCGGAAUUACUGGGCGUAAAGCGCACGUAGGCGGACUAUUAAGUCAGGGGUGAAAUCACGGGGCUCAACCCCGGAACUGCCUUUGAUACUGGUAGUCUCGAGUCCGGAAGAGGUGAGUGGAAUUCCGAGUGUAGAGGUGAAAUUCGUAGAUAUUCGGAGGAACACCAGUGGCGAAGGCGGCUCACUGGUCCGGUACUGACGCUGAGGUGCGAAAGCGUGGGGAGCAAACAGGAUUAGAAACCCGUGUAGUCC